RNAcentral lists this ribosomal RNA (419 nucleotides) under uncultured bacterium. RNAcentral describes it as "bacterial SSU rRNA". It matches the Rfam family "Bacterial small subunit ribosomal RNA", at positions 361 to 772 of the family's 1533-position model. The record is from RNAcentral.
AUUUUCGACAAUGGGGGGAACCCUGAUCGAGCCAUCCCGCGUGUGGGACGAAGGCCUUCGGGUUGUAAACCACUUUUCUCAACGAAGAAAAGUCUUAGGCUAAUACCUUAAGAUGCUGACGGUAGUUGAGGAAUAAGCACCGGCUNACUAUGUGCCAGCAGCCGCGGUAAUACAUAGGGUGCAAGCGUUAAUCGGAAUUACUGGGCGUAAAGGGUGCGCAGGCGGCUUGGAAAGAACGGUGUGAAAUCCCGGGGCUCAACCUCGGAACUGCACUAUUAACUAUCAAGCUAGAGUAUGUCAGAGGGGGGUGGAAUUCCGCGUGUAGCAGUGAAAUGCGUAGAUAUGCGGAGGAACACCAAUGGCGAAGGCAGCCCCCUGGCAUCAUACUGACACUGAGGUUCGAAAGCGUGGGUAGCAAA